UUUCCGUAGGUGAACCUGCGGAAGGAUCAUUACAGAGUUCAUGCCCUUCGGGGUAGAUCUCCCACCCUUGUGUAUCAUUAUCGAAUGUUGCUUUGGCGGGCUGCGUGCCUCGCGCGCCCGGAUCUCGGUCCGGCCCGCCCGCCAGAGGACCCCUAAACUCUGAAUGUUAGUGUCGUCUGAGUACUAUUAAAUAGUUAAAACUUUCAACAACGGGUCUCUUGGUUCUGUCAUCGAUGAAGAGCGCAGC
This 247-nucleotide unclassified non-coding RNA is filed under the name uncultured fungus. RNAcentral's name for it is "sequence contains ITS1, 5.8S rRNA gene". The stretch from base 199 to 247 matches the Rfam family "5.8S ribosomal RNA", at positions 1 to 49 of the family's 154-position model. Lineage: Eukaryota; Fungi. The record is from RNAcentral.